CACUUAGGAAUCUACCUAGUAGUGGGGGAUAGCUCGGGGAAACUCGAAUUAAUACCGCAUACGACCUACGGGAGAAAGGGGGCGAGUUUACUGCUCUCGCUAUUAGAUGAGCCUAAGUCGGAUUAGCUAGAUGGUGGGGUAAAGGCCUACCAUGGCGACGAUCUGUAGCUGGUCUGAGAGGAUGAUCAGCCACACCGGGACUGAGACACGGCCCGGACUCCUACGGGAGGCAGCAGUGGGGAAUAUUGGACAAUGGGGGCAACCCUGAUCCAGCCAUGCCGCGUGUGUGAAGAAGGCCUU
This 300-nucleotide ribosomal RNA is filed under the name uncultured Psychrobacter sp. RNAcentral's name for it is "bacterial SSU rRNA". It matches the Rfam family "Bacterial small subunit ribosomal RNA", at positions 114 to 418 of the family's 1533-position model. The record is from RNAcentral. Lineage: Bacteria; Pseudomonadati; Pseudomonadota; Gammaproteobacteria; Moraxellales; Moraxellaceae.